This 440-nucleotide ribosomal RNA is filed under the name uncultured archaeon. RNAcentral's name for it is "bacterial SSU rRNA". It matches the Rfam family "Archaeal small subunit ribosomal RNA", at positions 19 to 458 of the family's 1478-position model. The record is from RNAcentral.
GGAGGUUACUGCUAUCGGUGUUCGCCUAACCCAUGCGAGUCAUAUGUUCUUCGUGAACAUGGCGUACUGCUCAGUAACACGUGAAUAACCUGCCCUUGGGACCGGCAUAACCCCGGGAAACUGGGGAUAAUUCCGGAUACUGCAUAUAUGCUGGAAUACUUUAUGCAUAAAAUGGAUUCGUCUGCCCAAGGAUGGGUCUGCGGCCUAUCAGGUAGUAGUGGGUGUAAUGUACCUACUACCCAACGACGGGUACGGGUUGUGAAAGCAAAAGCCCGGAAAUGGAUUCUGAAACAUGAAUCCAGGCCCUACGGGGCGCACCAGGCGCAAAAACUUUACAAUGCGGAAAACCGUGAUAAGGGGACACCGAGUGCCAGCAUCAUAUGCUGGCUGUCCGGGUGUGUAAACUACACCUGUUAGCAAGGGCCGGGCAAAACCGGUGC